CGUUUAAUUUUUUUCUCAAGCUUUCGUAAGAUUACAACAAGCAGAAGUAUAAAGACAAGAGAACUGCUAAAAUAAAAAGAAUAACUGAAACUUCUGUUUCCAAUUACAAGCAGCAAGGCAGUACAUUACAAAACAAGCUUUGUCAUAGGUACAUUAUGAAAUCCAUCCCUGCAUUUGGAACAUUUUCAGUAAAUAAUUUGUGUUGAUCCGGCAAACAAACACGUCUAAAGGCUGCCAGAACUUCAAUUCUACCAAUUCCACAUUGUCUAAGUUUUGAGUGAUUUUCAAACUGACUGUAUACCACAUUGGAUACUUCCCCAUCCUAGCAUUUGCCAUAUCCAGCGGAUAUAGUUGGCAUAUAAAUGAUACUUUACACAGACAUGAGAUAGGCAAAUAAAAUGGUACAAGUUUUUGCAUCCAUUAGAAGUGCAUAUUGAGUAAGCAUAUUUUAGGAGUGGGAUAUUCAAGAAACGCAUGGCCAAUCAAAAGUUUGUAUUUAUAAAAUUUCAUACAAGUUGCGUCCCAAACAGCAUGGGGAGUCGAGAAUUUGUGCUGCAAUACCACAUCCAAAACAGUACGGGGACUCAGAGAAUUUGUGUUGCAUAUUAUAGAAUAAAAAUCUUAGCUCAAUGUCCAAACAUAGACCUGGCCUCCGCUACUACCUCCUGCUAACAUCCCAACCUCAUAAGAGUGUGCAUCAAAUUUAAGUGGAUUUGCAGAUAUGGGUGGACUCUCUAGAGUCAUCACGGGCUCAUCGUAGUAGGUUGCAACAUGUCAAAAAUGAAUGAAGUGCAAAUGACUGAUUCUGGUAAUUAGCAAGUUAAUAAAAUAGCAUCCAAUUUUGAUACUUCGUUGAAAUCAUUAAGAAAGGAUAAAAAAGAAGGAAAAGAUAAAUAAGACUCUUGAUAGUAUUUUGAUAAUGUGAUUCUCUGAAUUUGCCUGUGGUAAAACCUUGCUACUAGUAAUCCUAUUCAUUCUAAAAAGGUUUAAAUACGUGAAGUGUACCUAUUACAAGCGAGUACAAAAAGACUACCUAAUUUAUAAGGAAAAUGAAUCAUUGAUCUGUCAUGAGUUUAAGCGCAGCUGCAACCUACAAGAGAAGAAUAAGAUAUAUUGUCCGAUUUGAAAACCACUUUAGGUAAAGCAUUUAGAUAGGGGAGGGUCCUAAACCAUUUUAGCAAAAACUUUAACUUGUUUAUUUGGGAUGUACGAUGUAAAGACGAUAAUAUUGUAAAAUUAAUUUACUUCUUUAUUUAGAAUAUAUAAUCUAAUGACGAUAUUGACAGCACUUGUAAUAUGAAUUUUGUUUUGUUCAAUUUAGACAUUUAAUGCUCGAGUAUUUGUCGUUUUCCCACUGGUUUUGCUUGAAGUAAUGGCAAUCAAUCAAACGAGUGAUACUUUAAUUAAUCAAUGUUUAUGAACUGUUGUUACUGCUAUUAAGUAAACUGUUCUCUAUCUUCAUUCUCUUACCUUUUUUUUUUGGUAUAAAAGUGAACAGACAGUUCCACAUACCGAGACUGCAAAACCAGAUAUAUGAGAGCUAAAACUGAAAUGGAGGUUUAUUUUUGUAGUAAUGUACUGAAAUGGAGGUUUAUUUUUGUAGCAAUGUACGACUAUUGCUCAACAAUCCAUGUAUACGAUUGCCAUGCCUUUGAAACUAAACAUAUUAUUAGAUCAAGUAAGGCAAGAGUGAGUUCCUUUUUAUUACCAGAGAUUCUUUAAUAUCUCAUUCUUAUUUUUUUUAUUAUUACAUGAGAGUAUAGAAGCUAAAAAGGUCAUAACUUUACUAUAAUGUAUAUAUCUUUGUUCUCUUUGCUGCAUAGGACUAUCUCUACGCCUCCCAUGCUUGAGAAGCUGCAGAAAAUACAGUUAAUUUUUUCCAUUAGAAUGACUCGCUAUGAUACAGUUUGAAAUGGCAUUAAGAAUAAGAGGUAAAACUCUAAGGUUAAGUUUUUCUAUCAAUCUUUUUAAUAAUUGCUCUUUAGGCACCUAGCAAUUGCUCACAUGCACCUAACUCGAAUGGUAGUUAAUUACCGUUCGCUUCCCAUCAAUAGUUAAUUACCGCUCAUCACUUUUUAAACCGGUUUAACCAAUUUAAAAGGCAUCCGAAUGGUGAUAUACUACUGAUGGCGGGGCGUUUUAGGUGCCUGUGAGCAAUUUCUAGGUGAAGAGCAACUUCCUUAAUCCCCUGGGGAUAGGGUCAGUCCAACAAAUAUAUAGGCCUAAACCAAAAUUUGAAGUUAGCCACAUAAAAAAAAACAAACAACAAACUCCAUAUGAUUAUAGUUAUGUAUACACAGUAUUAUAAAAGAUAUAGUUGUAUAUCGAGAGAGUAUUAUAAAGGAUCUAUAAUAAGUAAAACGAAGCUAUGUUUAAUAAGAAGAAAUGAUCUACGUACCUGCUUGAGAAAGAGCCCAGUUGCUGUCUUGUUCAAUAUGCCAAGCAAAAUAUCCAAACAAACCAUUUUGCUUGGCAUAGUCAACCUUGGCAGAUAUACUCUGAGUGUCAUCGUAUCCAUACCAAUCUGUCCCUAUGAAGCAAUAAUUAGUAACAUAUGUGGAAUUGUACACAACCUGCACCCCAACAUUUAUUAUAUCUUUGUACUUCACUGCCCCAAGCCCCUGUGUAGCUUGAUCAAAAAUUUCAUGGUUAUUAGGAUCUGACAAACUCCACUUGAAACCAUAGAAAGGUACACCCAAUGCUAGUUUGCUUUUUGGAACUCCUAACCCAAUCCAUUUUGUGAUACCUUCAUCUACACUGAAUUGGCCUGUUGGGUUUUUCAAAGGAGCAGGUGGUUGUGUUUGAGUUUGAUACCUAUCUGAGAUGAAAAGGUCAUAAGUCAUUACAUUGACCCAAUCCAAGUUGUUUGCAAUAUCCUGACCUGGGUAGUAUUCCAAAGAGAUGAUCUGAUCAGAGCCACCCACGGCAGCAGAUAACAGCAGUGUCGGCUUGCCAGAACUGCUAGACUCUUGGGUCACAGCAGCUCUCCACUCCGUAAUGAGUAAACCAAAGUUGGUUUUAUCUGUGUCGGAGGAUGGAUACUCCCAGUCAAGAUCCAAGACCAUUGAAGUUGUUAUUUCUAGCAAGUUGAAUUGAAGAAUCUAUGAAAGAUUUUCGUCUACUGGCUUGGCUAGCCAUAUCAGCAAAUUGUUUUGCCAAAGUUGAAUUCCCACCACCAAUUGAUAAAAGAGUUUUCACCGAACUACUCUUUGCCUGGAUUGUUUCAGUGAAGGUUGAGAAACUAGCUGCGUUUGCAGAAGAAAUAGUGACUUGGUUGGUAUUAGAAUCAAGGUC
Molecule: long non-coding RNA, 3294 nt
Filed under: Medicago truncatula (barrel medic)
Lineage: Eukaryota; Viridiplantae; Streptophyta; Magnoliopsida; Fabales; Fabaceae
Description: long non-coding RNA (MTRU_LNC002475)
Source: RNAcentral